GCCGUCGUGGCGCAAUGGCAGCGCAUCACCUUCCUACACUUAUUCCUAGUGAAGACAGGUGGGGGUUGCGGGUUCGACCCCCGUCGACGGUA
Russula compacta is the source of this 92-nucleotide non-coding RNA. NCBI's taxonomy places the organism in Eukaryota, Fungi, Basidiomycota, Agaricomycetes, Russulales, Russulaceae. The record is from the annotation of a GenBank genome assembly.